Molecule: unclassified non-coding RNA, 195 nt
Filed under: plant metagenome
Description: partial contains small subunit ribosomal RNA, internal transcribed spacer 1, and 5.8S ribosomal RNA
Source: RNAcentral
UCUCCGUUGGUGAACCAGCGGAGGGAUCAUUACCGAGUUUACAGCUCCCAAACCCCUGUGAACAUACCAUUUGUUGCCUCGGCGGUGCCUGCUUCGGCAGCCCGCCAGAGGACCCAAACCCUUGAUUUUAUACAGUAUCUUCUGAGUAAAUGAUUAAAUAAAUCAAAACUUUCAACAACGGAUCUCUUGGUUCUG